This 484-nucleotide ribosomal RNA is filed under the name uncultured bacterium. RNAcentral's name for it is "partial 16S ribosomal RNA". It matches the Rfam family "Bacterial small subunit ribosomal RNA", at positions 30 to 507 of the family's 1533-position model. The record is from RNAcentral.
AUUGAACGCUGGCGGCAGGCCUAACACAUGCAAGUCGAGCGGAUGAAGGGAGCUUUCUCCUGGAUUCAGCGGCGGACGGGUGAGUAAUUCCUAGGAAUCUGCCUGGUCUUGGGGGAUAACGUCCGGAAACGGGCGCUAAUACCGCAUACGUCCUGAGGUAGAAAGUGGGGGAUCUUCGGACCUCACGCUAUCAGAUGAGCCUAGGUCGGAUUAGCUAGUUGGUAGGGUAAAGGCCUACCAAGGCGACGAUCCGUAACUGGUCUGAGAGGAUGAUCAGUCACACUGGAACUGAGACACGGUCCAGACUCCUACGGGAGGCAGCAGUGGGGAAUAUUGGACAAUGGGCGAAAGCCUGAUCGAGCCAUGCCGCGUGUGUGAAGAAGGUCUUCGGAUUGUAAAGCACUUUAAGUUGGGAGGAAGAGCAGUAAGUUAAUACAUUGCUGUUUUGACGUUACCAACAGAGUAAGCACCGGCUAACUUCGUG